Molecule: ribosomal RNA, 495 nt
Filed under: uncultured bacterium
Lineage: Bacteria
Description: partial 16S ribosomal RNA
Rfam family: Bacterial small subunit ribosomal RNA
Source: RNAcentral
GACGAACGCUGGCGGCGUGCCUAAUACAUGCAAGUAGAACGCUGAAGGAGGAGCUUGCUUCUCUGGAUGAGUUGCGAACGGGUGAGUAACGCGUAGGUAACCUGCCUGGUAGCGGGGGAUAACUAUUGGAAACGAUAGCUAAUACCGCAUAAGAGUAGAUGUUGCAUGACAUUUGCUUAAAAGGUGCAAUUGCAUCACUACCAGAUGGACCUGCGUUGUAUUAGCUAGUUGGUGGGGUAACGGCUCACCAAGGCGACGAUACAUAGCCGACCUGAGAGGGUGAGCGGCCACACUGGGACUGAGACACGGCACAGACUCCUACGGGAGGCAGCAGUAGGGAAUCUUCGGCAAUAGACGGAAGUCUGACCGAGAAACGCCGCGUGAGUGAAGAAGGGUGUCGGAUCGUAAAGCUCGGUUGUAAGAGAAGAACGAGUGUGAGAGUGGAAAGUUCACACUGUGACGGUAGCUUACCAGAAAGGGACGGCUAACUACGUG